CGGAGGAUCCAAGCGUUAUCCGGAAUCAUUGGGUUUAAAGGGUCCGUAGGCGGUUUUAUAAGUCAGUGGUGAAAUCUGGUCGCUCAACGAUCAAACGGCCAUUGAUACUGUAAGACUUGAAUUACUUGGAAGUAACUAGAAUAUGUAGUGUAGCGGUGAAAUGCUUAGAGAUUACAUGGAAUACCAAUUGCGAAGGCAGGUUACUACAAGUAUAUUGACGCUGAUGGACGAAAGCGUGGGGAGCGAACAGGAUUAGAUACCCUGGUAGUCCACGCCGUAAACGAUGGAUACUAGCUGUUAGGAGCAAUCUGAGUGGCUAAGCGAAAGUGAUAAGUAUCCCACCUGGGGAGUACGCUCGCAAGAGUG
This 366-nucleotide ribosomal RNA is filed under the name uncultured organism. RNAcentral describes it as "bacterial SSU rRNA". It matches the Rfam family "Bacterial small subunit ribosomal RNA", at positions 526 to 896 of the family's 1533-position model. The record is from RNAcentral.